This 705-nucleotide long non-coding RNA is filed under the name Helianthus annuus (common sunflower). The record is from RNAcentral. Lineage: Eukaryota; Viridiplantae; Streptophyta; Magnoliopsida; Asterales; Asteraceae.
GGGUCGUGUUCCGGGUACAAUCACAAAGAACCGUUGGGUUUUGAAGACGAAGAUUCCGACUGAAGAAAAAAGCUCUCCUGGAAAUAGUUUGUAAAAUGUGGAGAGUGGUAUUAAUUGUCGGUGUAUCUCUGGAGCUGGUGGAUCGUGCAAGCCGGUUGAGAUAGAGAAUGGGUCCGAUAAGACUGUUGGGUUGGAGCUUGUGGGAGCUUCAACUGUUCUCUCAGUUACUUGAUGAGAGGUGUGGUUGCAACUAGGUGGCUUGGAUGUGACUGAAGUCUUAGCUUGUUCUUGGAACUGGAGGCUGGGAAGACUUGAACGUAAAGAUUACUGAAGUUACUAGUGAUGGGUUUCUUGGAUGCACUUUGUGGACUAUGCAAAGCCUCCGAGUGGGAGAUUGUUGGGUUCGUAGGCUUUAGGCCGGCCCUAGUUAUUAGGCCCACUUAGUUAACUUGUUGUCCAAGUAGAAAACCCUAAUCUUGUUCUAUAAAUACCUAUGAUGUAAUUGUAGUCUGUGUCAUUCUGAAAACAGUUGUGAGCAUCUAUUAAAAGUAAAACCCUAGUUGCAACCCGUGGACGUAGGUCACCUUGACCGAACCACGUAAAUUCUCGUGUUCUUUAUUUUCUGCUAGUGUGUGUGUGUUUGUUCCGCUUCUGCUCGAGCCUACUCUGAUCCAAUACCCCUAACAAGUGGUAUCAGAGCCAAAG